GGGUGCGAUCAUACCAGCACUAAUGCACCGGAUCCCAUCAGAACUUCGAAGUUAAACGUGCUUGGGCGAGAGUGGUACUAAGAUGGGUGACCUCUUGGGAAGUUCUCGUGUUGCACCCC
This 119-nucleotide ribosomal RNA is filed under the name Ricinus communis (castor bean). Lineage: Eukaryota; Viridiplantae; Streptophyta; Magnoliopsida; Malpighiales; Euphorbiaceae. The record is from RNAcentral.